GGUCAGCUGACACAUCCCUGCCAAUCUCUGGCAGACCCUCCCUUCCCAGACCCUCCCACCUCCUGGACAGCAUCCAUGUUGAAGCUGCCUUCAACAUGGAUGCUGUCCAGGAAGUAGGAGGGUCUGGGAGGGAGGGUCUGCCGGAGAUUGGCAGGGAUGUGUCAGCUG
This is a non-coding RNA of Pelobates cultripes (western spadefoot toad), 168 nucleotides long. The record is from the annotation of a GenBank genome assembly. Lineage: Eukaryota; Metazoa; Chordata; Amphibia; Anura; Pelobatidae.